GUGGGGAAUCUUCCGCAAUGGACGAAAGUCUGACGGAGCAACGCCGCGUGAGUGAAGAAGGUUUUCGGAUCGUAAAGCUCUUUCGUUAGGGACGAACGUGCUCUUUGUGAAUAAUGAGGAGUAAUGACGGUACCUAAAUAAGAAGCCACGGCUAACUACGUGCCAGCAGCCGCGGUAAUACGUAGGUGGCAAGCGUUGUCCGGAAUUAUUGGGCGUAAAGCGCGCGCAGGCGGGAUAUCAAGUCUGUCUUAAAAGUGCGAGGCUCAACCUCGUGAGGGGACAGAAACUGGUAUUCUUGAGUGUCGGAGAGGAAAGUGGAAUUCCAAGUGUAGCGGUGAAAUGCGUAGAGAUUUGGAAGAACACCAGUGGCGAAGGCGACUUUCUGGACGAUGUCUGACGCUGAGGCGCGAAAGCUAGGGGAGCGAACGGGAUUAGAAACCCUGGUAGUC
This 449-nucleotide ribosomal RNA is filed under the name uncultured bacterium. RNAcentral describes it as "partial 16S ribosomal RNA". It matches the Rfam family "Bacterial small subunit ribosomal RNA", at positions 354 to 795 of the family's 1533-position model. The record is from RNAcentral.